GCGGUAAUAGCUCAGUUGGUAGAGCACAAGCUUCCCAAGCUUGGGGUCACGGGUUCGAACCCCGCUUACCGCUCCC
Molecule: transfer RNA, 76 nt
Filed under: Prevotella sp. P3-122
Lineage: Bacteria; Pseudomonadati; Bacteroidota; Bacteroidia; Bacteroidales; Prevotellaceae
Description: tRNA-Gly
Rfam family: tRNA
About the family: Transfer RNA (tRNA) molecules are approximately 80 nucleotides in length. Their secondary structure includes four short double-helical elements and three loops (D, anti-codon, and T loops).
Source: RNAcentral